RNAcentral lists this ribosomal RNA (492 nucleotides) under uncultured bacterium. RNAcentral's name for it is "bacterial SSU rRNA". It matches the Rfam family "Bacterial small subunit ribosomal RNA", at positions 400 to 881 of the family's 1533-position model. The record is from RNAcentral.
GGUGGGUGAUGAAGGCUUUCGAGUUGUAAAACCCUGUCGUGAACGAAGAAGAAAGUUUAUGGGANUNCUAUGGACUUUUUGACUGUACUUCAAAAGGAAGCCCCGGCCAACUACGUGCCAGCAGCCGCGGUAAGACGUAUGGGGCAAGCGUUGUUCGGAUUUACUGGGUGUAAAGGGCGUGUAGGUGUCCUUACAAGUCGGAUAUGAAAUCUUAAAGCUUAACUUUAAAAUUGUAUUUGAAACUGUAAGGAUAGAGUUCAGAAUAGGAGAAUGGAAUUCCCGGUGUAGGGGUGAAAUCUGUAGAUAUCGGGAAGAACACCAGUGGCGAAGGCGAUUCUCUGGUCUGAUACUGACACUGAGACGCGAAAGUUGGGGGAGCAAACAGGAUUAGAUACCCUGGUAGUCCCNACUGUAAACGUUGGACACUAGGUGUUGGGAGUAUCGACCCUUCCAGUGCCGUAGUUAACACGUUAAGUGUCCCACCUGGGGAGU